Molecule: ribosomal RNA, 465 nt
Filed under: Vreelandella stevensii
Lineage: Bacteria; Pseudomonadati; Pseudomonadota; Gammaproteobacteria; Oceanospirillales; Halomonadaceae
Description: partial 16S ribosomal RNA
Rfam family: Bacterial small subunit ribosomal RNA
Source: RNAcentral
CCUACGGGGGGCAGCAGUGGGGAAUAUUGGACAAUGGGGGGAACCCUGAUCCAGCCAUGCCGCGUGUGUGAAGAAGGCCCUCGGGUUGUAAAGCACUUUCAGUGAGGAAGAACGCCUGGUGGUUAAUACCCAUCAGGAAAGACAUCACUCACAGAAGAAGCACCGGCUAACUCCGUGCCAGCAGCCGCGUUAAUACGGAGGGUGCGAGCGUUAAUCGGAAUUACUGGGCGUAAAGCGCGCGUAGGUGGCUUGAUAAGCCGGUUGUGAAAGCCCCGGGCUCAACCUGGGAACGGCAUCCGGAACUGUCAAGCUAGAGUGCAGGAGAGGAAGGUAGAAUUCCCGGUGUAGCGGUGAAAUGCGUAGAGAUCGGGAGGAAUACCAGUGGCGAAGGCGGCCUUCUGGACUGACACUGACACUGAGGUGCGAAAGCGUGGGUAGCAAACAGGAUUAGAUACCCUUGUAGUC